ACACAAGAGAGACCUAACCAUGAAAGAAGAAGCGUGACACGAAUAGAAAUAAGGUAAUAUGGAGUAUAAAGGUACAAGAGACCAAGAAUGUAGCAAACAUAAAGUUACGUACAUAGGAUUAUAGUUAACGCAGCAACGUCAAGUUUUUGAAGAUGGUGUAGAACUUGCUACGAACGUCAAACGUCAACGUCAUCCGCGAACGUCAACGAAAUGUCAUGGAACCGGCCUUUAAAUUUCAAAAGGAUUGAUUUUAGAAUACAACUUUGGUUAUAUAAAUAAUAUUUUAGGUUAUUGUAUAUAUACAUCUUAUAUAUAUAUAAUGUAGAACUAUCAGAUGAUGUACCUAACUGUAUGUUUACUCCGUAGGGUUACCUAUUUAAUCAGUUAACUGUGUAAAUCCAUGUAUGUUAUUUGAAACAACCUUGUAAUAUUGGCUAACAUGAAUAUCGUAGGUAACUACCGCUGAGUUCGCAUCUCAUCUGUUAUUUCACCAUUGAAUUACUUAUAACUAACAGAACAAUAACUGGGAUAUCAUCAAUCUACAUGCAAUGAGCUGUCCCUGCCAUUUCACUUAAUGUAAAGGAAAUUUAUAUGUCAUAAACUUGAAAUGAAUGGCUUUAAAUUUAAUGCAUUUACGUUUCUUUUUGUUUGCGCAAAGAUAAUUUAUCUUCGAACGAUAAUUUUUUUAUAUUAUUUGGACGGCAUACAUUUCUACCUGUAACGUAUUAUACAGACUCGAACUCUAGCUAUAAAAAUUUUAGUGAUAUAAACCAUACAUGGUUGCCAAUUUUUUGCUAGUCAACAAUCUAAGUAAAAGAAGCUUUUAGUUAUUCAAAGUAUGUAGUCUAAAUUAUUCAAAUACUGACCUGAUCUGGAAGAAUUUGAUGGUUUUGCGUCCAAGCAGCCAUUUGCUUGGGAGGAACGUCGGGAGCAACCGCCACUUUACUUCUUUUCUUGUAAUCGUGAAGUAUUGGUAUUUUGGAGUUUUUUUCUGUACUGGAAAGUAUCACUUCUCUUUCGAUCUGUAACAACGAUAUAUCAUAUCAUUUCGCAUAAACUAUCAUUUCAACUUCUCGAAAUAAAUGCUUGCAUUAACCCAUAUACGUUAAGAUGCCGACAAUAUUCAUUUUCUCUCUCGUUCGAGACACUUUAUCUAUACUGCACAUGCUUGAAAAUUCUCCAAAUAACAACUGUAGCGAUCGGAGGAGAGAGAGAACGAUACAUUAUUUGUUUCACUUAGUUGGAACAUCUCCCACUGUACUAUACAGUUAUUUUAUAGGUUAGUUUGUUCUUCUUUCUUUUAUAACUUGUCAUUGUUUUAUAUAAUUAUGCAGUAUAAAUAUUCUGACGUUUCAAAUUUUUUUUUAUCGGUACUUUAAAUGUAAUUUGCGAAAAUCAACAUACCUAUUAAAUUCUUAGAUCAAAGAUGCCGACAAUAUUCAUUUUCUCUCUCGUUCGAGACACUUUAUCUAUACUGCGCAUGCUUGAAAAUUCUCCAAAUAACAACUGUAGCGAUCGGAGGAGAGAGAGAACGAUACAUUAUUUGUUUCACUUAGUUGGAACACCUCCCACUGUACUAUACAGUUAUUUUAUAGGUUAGUUUGUUCUUCUUUCUUUUAUAACUUGUCAUUGUUUUAUAUAAUUAUGCAGUAUAAAUAUUCUGACGUUUCAAAUUUUUUUUAUCGGUACUUUAAAUGUAAUUUGCGAAAAUCAACAUACCUAUUAAAUUCUUAGAUCAAAGAUGCCGACAAUAUUCAUUUUCUCUCUCGUUCGAGACACUUUAUCUAUACUGCGCAUGCUUGAAAAUUCUCCAAAUAACAACUGUAGCGAUCGGAGGAGAGAGAGAACGAUACAUUAUUUGUUUCACUUAGUUGGAACACCUCCCACUGUACUAUACAGUUAUUUUAUAGGUUAGUUUGUUCUUCUUUCUUUUAUAACUUGUCAUUGUUUUAUAUAAUUAUGCAGUAUAAAUAUUCUGACGUUUCAAAAUUUUUUUUACCGGUACUUUAAAUGUAAUUUGCGAAAAUCAACAUACCUAUUAAAUUCUUAGAUCAAAGAUGCCGACAAUAUUCAUUUUCUCUCUCGUUCGAGACACUUUAUCUAUACUGCGCAUGCUUGAAAAUUCUCCAAAUAACAACUGUAGCGAUCGGAGGAGAGAGAGAACGAUACAUUAUUUGUUUCACUUAGUUGGAACACCUCCCACUGUACUAUACAGUUAUUUUAUAGGUUAGUUUGUUCUUCUUUCUUUUAUAACUUGUCAUUGUUUUAUAUAAUUAUGCAGUAUAAAUAUUCUGACGUUUUAAAUUUUUUUUUACCGGUACUUUAAAUGUAAUUUGCGAAAAUCAACAUACUUUUGUCAUUGUUUGUAUAACAUUGAAAAAAUAUUGUACGUAGGAGUAUGCAUUAAAUCUUGGAAUGUAUACGUUCGAGUCACGGGCGUAGUCAAGAUUUAGUUUUGAGGGGGGUUUGGUUUGAAGUAAAUAAAACAAUAAAAAUAUACUUAUAUGAAAUUUAA
Long non-coding RNA from Diorhabda sublineata, 2515 nucleotides. RefSeq lists it as uncharacterized. NCBI's taxonomy places the organism in Eukaryota, Metazoa, Arthropoda, Insecta, Coleoptera, Chrysomelidae. The transcript has 2 exons. The record is from RefSeq and is a predicted model, not a curated record.